This 269-nucleotide ribosomal RNA is filed under the name uncultured bacterium. Its description in RNAcentral is "partial 16S ribosomal RNA". It matches the Rfam family "Bacterial small subunit ribosomal RNA", at positions 84 to 354 of the family's 1533-position model. The record is from RNAcentral.
UUUGAUGGCGACCGGCGCACGGGUGAGUAACACGUAUCCAACCUGCCGAUGACUCGGGGAUAGCCUUUCGAAAGAAAGAUUAAUACCCGAUGGCAUAGUUCUUCCGCAUGGUAGAACUAUUAAAGAAUUUCGGUCGUCGAUGGGGAUGCGUUCCAUUAGCUUGUUGGCGGGGUAACGGCCCACCAAGGCAUCGAUGGAUAGGGGUUCUGAGAGGAAGGUCCCCCACAUUGGAACUGAGACACGGUCCAAACUCCUACGGAAGGCAGCAG